GACUUCAGUUAACUGAGAGCUGGGCACACCUAGGCCUCUCAGCUUUCGCCCAGGAGGAGAGUGAAGCUGGGUUCAAGUAGGACAGAAACUUCUCUUCCUGAUUUAAAAUGCAUUCCCGAAGUAAAACAAAUUGUUACGUUAUCUACUCUGGUGCUUAGUCACAGACAGGCAGACUUUUCCCAUAAAACCCUAUUGCAUGGGAAUAAGUUCAGUAUGGACAACUUGACAACUCAAAUAAGGAAAUAGAAAUUCUUAUUCGAUAGGGCUGAAUCAACAUAUAUAAUGAAGAAAAGCCUAAUUUUCCAGGAAACCUGCUUUUAUUUUACAGAAGUGCAAGCAUAUUCACAAUUAUAAAAUAGAUUAUCUAAGUCUUUAAAUAGUUCCCACUUUUUCUUAAGACUAGCAGGGUAAAUACAGCAGGUGCACUUCUGUUACCUCUCUUCCAGAAGAAAAUCUCCCAUGAGGUUACGGGUAAACUGGGCUACUUCAGAUUUCAAAAUUCAGUAUUUCUUAGAGGUAGAUAUUUUUUCUGGAUCUUUUUAAAAACUUGAUUAUCUGUGUACUAGAUAUUUUAUAACAAAGGUGAUUUCUGUUCUCUAUAUUGUAUACAUAGUAUGUAAUUGUGUAUAUAUUAUAUAUAAGUGUAUAAUAUAACAGGGUCCUUCUCUAGACUGAAUUAACUGAUCUUGAUAUAGCUCGAACAGGGUCAAAAGACUGCUUAAAAAGUCUUGCAUUUUACAGGUGAAGAAAUGAGGCUAACAGAGGUGAAGUGACAAUAAUGACAGUGACCAGUGACAGUCUCCAAAUUUCUAGCCUAAGUCUUUUCCUCUAUGGAACAACACUACUUUUGUUGGCUUGGCAGGCCUGCUGUGAAGCAGAUUUCCUUUUAAACACAAAAUUCGUUAUUCUAUUUGGAAUGGUAAAAUUUUACACUAUAAACUACUAUAAUAUGAUGGUAGUAUGUUGGAAAAAUAUUUCUAGUCUGAGGAUUUAUAGAAUCAGAUAAAUCUAUUAUAUAAAAGUCACUAUUCUAGAUACUUGGGUAAUAAAAAAAAAUAGGCUUCAUAUCUGCUAAAGAGACCAUUGUGUAAAGGUAGGCCACAUGAAGAGAUAACAGAAGAUAGCUUUUGCAAAUUCAAAACUAAGGUGUGUAGCUAAUAAGUGCUACAGGAGUUCUGGAAGAGAAACCACUUCAGGUAGUUUUCUAAGCUAAGACACGGCUGGGAACAAUGCCAGGAAGAGGUUUAAGAUGUUAUGUCUGUGCGGCCUUGAAUGUAAUAUUUUUCAUAGAUUUGAACAAGAGAAAAUUUCAAGGAGGACAAGGGAGUGAGCCCACACUGAGAUCACGGGCUGUGCGUAAAGAUGGAACAGAUGGAUGUACUCAAUAGAUGUAUUCCAGUUAAUAAACAGAGGUCUGAUAAAGACAUGUCAUCACUUUGCAACCACCAAGAAAAAAAUGCAUGUAGGCAAUGAGCAUCCAUUUUGAGAGCAUCACAGAAAGGCAUUACAUACUUUUUGAGGGCAGCAGGGCUUACCUUCAGAUCAAGGCUGCUAAGGCUUACAACAUCAUCAUCU
RNAcentral lists this long non-coding RNA (1575 nucleotides) under Homo sapiens (human). RNAcentral's name for it is "HSALNT0356013". The record is from RNAcentral. Lineage: Eukaryota; Metazoa; Chordata; Mammalia; Primates; Hominidae.